Molecule: ribosomal RNA, 780 nt
Filed under: uncultured bacterium
Lineage: Bacteria
Description: bacterial SSU rRNA
Rfam family: Bacterial small subunit ribosomal RNA
Source: RNAcentral
GAAGCUUGCUUUGAAACUCGGAAAGCGGCGAAAGGGAGAGUAACGAGUAGUUAUCUACCCCAAGGCCCGGAAUAGCUGCGGGAAACUGCAGGUAAUGCCGGAUAAUAUCCCCGGAUCAAAGGUGUGAUUCCGCCUUGGGAGGAGACUGCUUUGUACUAGCUUGUUGGUAGGGUAAUGGCCUACCAAGGCUACGAUGCAUAGCGGGCGUGAGAGCGUGGCCCGUCUCACUGGGACUGAAACACUGCCCAGACACCUACGGGUGGCUGCAGUCGAGAAUCUUCGGCAAUGGGCGAAAGCCUGACCGAGUAAUGCCGCGUGCGGGAUGAAGGCCUUCGGGUUGUAAACCGCUGUCGUAGAGGAGAAAGGUCUGAUGAAGAAUCAGAUUUGAUCUAUUCUAGGAGGAAGUCGGGGCUAAGUUCGUGCCAGCAGCCGCGGUAAUACGAACCCGACAAACGUUAUUCGGAAUUAUUGGGCUUAAAGGGUGCGUAGGCGGUGCGGUAAGUGCGGUGUGAAAUCCCUCGGCUCAACCGAGGAAUUGCGCUGCAUACUGCCGUGCUGGAGGGAGACAGAGGUAAGCGGAACUGAUGGUGGAGCGGUGAAAUGCGUUGAUAUCAUCAGGAACACCGGUGGCGAAAGCGGCUUACUGGGUCUCUUCUGACGCUGAGGCACGAAAGCUAGGGUAGCGAACGGGAUUAGAUACCCCGGUAGUCCUAGCCGUAAACGAUGAGCACUUGAUUGAGGGCCCCCCCAUAGGCUCUCGAUCGCAGCGAAAGUGUUAAG